RNAcentral lists this long non-coding RNA (263 nucleotides) under Nicotiana benthamiana. RNAcentral's name for it is "long non-coding RNA (NBEN_LNC019943)". The record is from RNAcentral. Lineage: Eukaryota; Viridiplantae; Streptophyta; Magnoliopsida; Solanales; Solanaceae.
AACAAACUCACUCUCCCAUUGAUGGGAUCUGCUUCUUCUUCAGAGAAGAGAGCUAAAAUUCAUGGCUGCUUCCUAGUCAAAACUACCGCAUCCCUUCACAUUUCUUUGACUCCUUCCCUCAUUCCUGUCAUAGAGCACACAAGCACAAUCAGAUGAAAAUAGAACAACGAUGAGAGAGCUAGAAAUUUUGUUUCAAAGCAUGGAGUUCAAUCGAGGUUGAGGUGUUGUUCUCAAUGCAUUUCUUGUUCCCGUCGAGUCUGAUU